GACGAACGCUGGCGGCGUGCCUAAUACAUGCAAGUCGAACGCAGUUGGGACGGGUGUGUAACACGUGGGUAACCUCCCAUCAGAGGGGAUAACACUUGGAAACAGGUGCUAAACCGAUACUGAUGGAUGGACCCGCGGUGCAUUAGCUAGUUGGUGAGGUAACGGCUCACCAAGGCCACGAUGCAUAGCAGACGCGCGGAAGUGAUAGGACACAGGGGGACAGAGACACGGCACAGACGCCUACGGAAGGAAGGAGUAGGGAAUCGUCGGCAAUGGACGAAAGUCUGACCGAGCAACGCCGCGUGAUUGAAGAAGGUUUUCGGAUCGUAAAACUCUGAUGUUAGAGAAGCGGUAUCUAGCCAGAAAGCCACGGCUAACUACGUGCCAGCAGCCGCGGUGAUUC
Molecule: ribosomal RNA, 403 nt
Filed under: uncultured bacterium
Lineage: Bacteria
Description: partial 16S ribosomal RNA
Rfam family: Bacterial small subunit ribosomal RNA
Source: RNAcentral